This 2399-nucleotide long non-coding RNA is filed under the name Homo sapiens (human). RNAcentral's name for it is "HSALNT0377072". The record is from RNAcentral. Lineage: Eukaryota; Metazoa; Chordata; Mammalia; Primates; Hominidae.
ACGAUUGUCUCAUUUAGAGGGACUCUCUAACCUGAGUACACAUUUGAAACAUCUGAGGGCUUUGAAACAUACCUGCUCCUGGACCACCUGCUGAACCAAUUAAAUCAGAAUUUCUGUUGUGAAGAUCUCCACGUGAGUUUAAGCUUUCCUGCUCAACUGUUAGUUCCAUGAAGGCAACAGCCAUGCCUGCUUCGUUCACUGAAAUAUCUUCGUUUCCUAACACACAGAAAGUCAUCAUUUUUUGACGGAUGAAAGAAUGGAUGAAUGCCUAGUCUUGGAGACAUCUACUUGCAAUAAAGGUUAGAUGAAGGAAAUGGAUGCCAGUGGGAGAUUUGUGGAUCUAUUUCACCAGAUUUCACUCUGCUGACUCAGCAAAAUGGUCCCCGAAGAAAGUGAAGAAACAGAGGCAAAGGGAGCAUAAGCAAUUUUCCAAAGGCCAUACAACAUGUAAGUGGCUGAGCCAAGACUGAAAUCACCAGGUUCUUAACCACUAGGCCAUAUUGCAUUGGAGUGUUGCCUCCUGGAGUAAGACUAGGCUAAAAGCUUCAUAGAAACCUAAAGGAGUUAGAGAAGGAAGAUCUCUCAAUGGAAAUGCUAAGAAGAGACACAAGGAAAGACACAUCACUAAGGAGAGACCCAAGGAAAAUGGCUCUAUGACUACAGUCCAUUUAAAGAAUGAGGGCGUUCCUUCUACCAAGUUACAGGUGGAGAUGUGUUUACCUGCUGGAUACCAAUGCUUCUAGCAUCAGGGAGAAGUUGAGCCCUGGAGGAAACAUUGCCUCUAAGUUUGUGUUCUGGUGCUACAUACUGCAAAGCAAAGUAUCUACAACAACUGCAAUAAGCCACCCUGAUCAUUCUUCAACCUAAAGAUUUGCAACUCAUCCAAGUUCAACUGGUUGAAAGAGCCUGCCUCCUCACAGCAGUGCCUGAUUGACACUAUGAACUGAAAUACUAAAGGCACUUCUUCUUUCAGGAUAACUGAUUAAAUGUUCUGGCUGGUAAAGCAGGUCAUCACUCAACUGUUGUGGCUUUGGCAAGAUGCCACCAAAGCAGCCCAUCAUGGUUGGCAGAGAUGUAAAGGCCCCACAUAUUACAGAACACCCUUUGAUAUGCAGACUAAUUAAUAGAAGACCUAAGCCUUUCAAGGGACUUCUAUACCAUAGGAUGUUAGGAGACAUCAAGAACACAAAUGAAACUAAGAUUUUCAUACAGGGUUCAGGUUUUGUUACUUCAGAUCUAUAAUCUAAAGUUCUGUAAUCAUCACAUCACUCCAAGAACAAAAUUUGAUAGGCAAAAUUCUUCACACUCAUUUCAUGGAGAACCUUGAGGGUCCAGAGUGAGGCUUGAUGGCAAGCAGGAGCUCCCUGUCCCCUGUCUCCACCCAUGCAACCCCUAGCUCCCCCAUUGUUUUCACUCUAGAUUUGUGAAGUAUAACAACCUUAAAAUCUUAAGAUUUAAUCUUUAAAUAUUAAGAGAUUUGGGUUUCUGUAUCAACAAUCUUUAAAUAUUAAGAGAUUUUUCCGAAGAUUAAUGACUUUCCUAGAGUUGGCCUACAAAUUCACCACCUCAACUGGAUGACUUGCUUUGGAAUAAAUUUCUAACACCGCAAGUGAAUUGAAUAUUUUCUUCCUUUUUUAUGUAAUCUAAUAUAGUACAUUUUUAAAAAUUUAUAGGAUGUCCAGACACUUAUAGCUUAUCAUUCUAUGAUUCAAAAGAAUUUGGUAUAAUUGCAUUGAUAAGCUUACUGCCCUGGGCACCAAAGUAACCUAGAAUAUGGAGAAGUAGCUUUUGGUGACAUGCAUCUAUUUAUAUCUCUAGCAUUUACUAAUUAAUUAAUUUGUUUAACAAAUACACAUUCAGUACCAUUAUAUGUUUGGCAUUGUCAUAGAUGUUAGAAAAUCAAAUAUAAAAAAGAGGUAAUUUCUUCACAACACACGGAAAUAAGAGUAUCUCUAGGAAUUGUCUCUAGUUGAAAUUGUUUUCUCCUACCCACCUCUACGAUUCAUCAAUUUAGCUUUCCUUCACUGUAGUGACAGGUGUUUUAAUCUCACCUAACAAUAUGCCUGAUUAAGCUUCAACAUACACAGAGAGAGGCCUGAAAAACAUAACUUGGUCUCUAUGUCUAAGUUUAUGUUGUUAGUAAUAGUUAUAAGAGCCACAGCGAUGGCACCAUGGCGUUACCUUCUCUGAAGGCUUUCCCAGCUUUCCUAGCAAAGCUCUUUUCUCUUCCCUCUGGUUAAAAAAUAAAUAAAAAAAAAAUAAAGGUUUUUCCUUUAUUGUUAUUCUUAUGUGUCUGAUUUUAUCACAUUUAUUGUUUUGUUUUCUGAUUGUAUAAGUCAUACAUGCUCAUUUAGAAAACUUGGAAACUAUGGAAAAAGAGAAAUAAAAAAUAAAAUCCA